GGGUGUGAGAGUGAUCUGGCUGCAACAUCUGUCACCUCAUUGAUUGCCAGGGUUGAUUUGGCUAAUCUGGUUGGCUAGGCGGGUGUCCCCUUCCUCCUUUCCUGUUCCAUGUGUGUCCCUGCUGUGCACUAGUUGAAGAUGAUGGCCUUCCCCAAAUAGAGACGGACCAGUCUUUGGUUGAGGGUAUACAAGUAGUUGUGCUCUCCAGCUAGAACCUCUAAAUAAGCUCUCAAGAAAUGGUCCACAAACACCUGAGAUACAGGGAAGGUUUGAGAUACCAUAAGCAGUUCAGCUCCCCUGGAUGAUGGGGUAGGC
This is an unclassified non-coding RNA of Erinaceus europaeus (western European hedgehog), 315 nucleotides long. Its record names the gene 7SK. It matches the Rfam family "7SK RNA". From Rfam's summary of the family: 7SK was discovered as an abundant small nuclear RNA in the mid-70s but a possible function has only recently been suggested. Two independent studies have found that 7SK RNA binds the CDK9/cyclin T complex (known as elongation factor P-TEFb). P-TEFb activates transcription by phosphorylating the C-terminal domain of RNA polymerase II. The record is from Ensembl. NCBI's taxonomy places the organism in Eukaryota, Metazoa, Chordata, Mammalia, Eulipotyphla, Erinaceidae.